This is an RNA transcript of Lontra canadensis (Northern American river otter), 3801 nucleotides long. It is a transcript of the gene named cyclin and CBS domain divalent metal cation transport mediator 4, with no coding region annotated. The record is from RefSeq and is a predicted model, not a curated record. The transcript has 9 exons. Lineage: Eukaryota; Metazoa; Chordata; Mammalia; Carnivora; Mustelidae.
AUGGCGCCGGUGGGCGGGGGCGGGCGCCCGGGCGGGGGGUCGGCCCGAGGGCGCCUCCUCCUGGCCGCGCUGCUGCUGCUGGUGCUGAUGUGGGCGCGGGGGGCCCGGGGCCAGGGCGACCCCCAGUGGGGCGCCAUCCUGGGCAUGAGACUGGCGAGCUGCAACAAAUCGUGUGGGAUGAACCCGGAGGGUAUCAUCUUCGUGUCCGAGGGCAGCACGGUGAACCUGAGGCUGUACGGCCAGAGGCUGGGCUCCCUCUCCAGCAACCUGAUUUCCUUCACCGAGGUGGACAACUUCGAGGCGAUCCAGAACUCCACCAACUGUCCCGAGCUCACCAAGGACCUGGUCGUCCAGCAGCUGGUGAACGUGAGCCGCGGGAACACGUCCGGGAUGCUGGUGGUGCUCACUAAGUUCCUCCGGAGAAGCGAGAACAUGAAGUUGUAUGCAUUGUGUACCCGGGCCGGGGUGAACGGGCCUUGGCAGAGGUGGACCGAUAAGGAUUCGCUGCUCUUCAUGGUGGAGGAGGCUGGGAGGUUCCUGCCCCUCUGGCUGCACAUCCUCCUCAUUACGGUGCUGCUGGUGCUGUCGGGCAUGUUUUCUGGCCUCAACCUGGGGCUUAUGGCCCUGGACCCCAUGGAGCUGCGUAUCGUGCAGAACUGUGGCACCGAGAAGGAGAGACGCUAUGCCCGCAAGAUCGAGCCCAUCCGGCGCAAGGGCAACUACUUACUCUGCUCUCUGCUUCUGGGAAACGUGCUGGUCAACACCUCCCUCACCAUCCUUCUAGACAACCUCAUCGGGUCUGGGCUCAUGGCGGUGGCCUCCUCCACCAUUGGCAUUGUCAUCUUUGGGGAGAUUGUUCCUCAGGCCUUGUGCUCCCGCCAUGGCCUGGCUGUGGGUGCCAACACUAUCAUCCUCACCAAAUUCUUUAUGCUACUCACCUUCCCCCUCAGUUUCCCCAUCAGCAAGCUCCUGGAUUUUGUUUUGGGCCAGGAGAUUCGCACCGUUUACAACCGGGAGAAGCUGAUGGAGAUGUUGAAGGUAACGGAGCCCUAUAACGACCUGGUGAAAGAGGAGCUAAACAUGAUCCAGGGUGCCCUGGAGCUACGGACCAAAACCGUGGAGGAUAUCAUGACCCAGCUCCAAGACUGCUUCAUGAUCCGCAGCGAUGCCAUCCUGGACUUCAAUACCAUGUCGGAGAUCAUGGAGAGCGGCUACACCCGCAUCCCUGUGUUUGAAGACGAGCAGUCCAAUAUUGUCGAUAUCCUCUAUGUCAAAGACUUGGCCUUCGUGGACCCUGAUGACUGCACCCCCCUCAAGACCAUCACCCGCUUCUAUAACCACCCAGUGCAUUUCGUCUUCCACGACACCAAGUUGGAUGCCAUGCUGGAGGAGUUCAAGAAGGGGAAGUCCCACCUGGCCAUCGUGCAGAAGGUGAACAACGAGGGUGAAGGUGACCCCUUCUACGAGGUGCUGGGCCUGGUCACCCUGGAGGACGUCAUUGAGGAGAUCAUCAAGUCUGAGAUCCUGGACGAGUCGGAUAUGUACACCGACAACCGAAGCCGGAAACGAGUAUCUGAGAAAAAUAAACGUGACUUCUCAGCCUUCAAAGAUGCUGACAAUGAACUCAAGGUGAAAAUUUCACCUCAGCUACUUCUGGCUGCUCAUCGCUUCCUGGCCACGGAGGUUCCCCAGUUCAGCCCCUCUCUGAUAUCAGAGAAGAUCCUGCUGCGGCUGCUCAAGUACCCAGAUGUCAUUCAGGAACUCAAGUUUGAUGAGCACAACAAAUACUACAUCCGCCACUACCUGUACACACGGAAUAAGCCGGCCGACUACUUCAUCCUCAUCCUGCAGGGGAAGGUGGAGGUGGAGGCCGGGAAGGAGAACAUGAAGUUUGAGACAGGUGCCUUCUCCUACUACGGGACCAUGGCCCUGUCCUCGCCCACCUCUGUGCCUUCAACCCAGGUCGGGUGUCCGCCUGGCAAGCGGAACUCCCUGCUGUCCUGGCUCUCAGACCACUCCCCGGCCCACCCCAGCACCCUCAGCCGCUCAGCCUCCCUAAGUUACCCGGAGCGCACGGAUCUCUCAAGCGCGGCCACCCUGGCGGCCAGCGCCAACCAGUUCGGCAGCUCUGUCCUGGGCCAGUACAUCUCCGACUUCAGUGUCCGGGCGCUCAUGGACCUCCAGUACAUUAAGAUCACCCGGCAACAGUACCAGAAUGGGCUGCUGGCCUCACGCAUGGAGAACUGCCCUCAGUUUCCCCUGGAUGGCUGCACUAUUUGCACGGAGAACUUAGCCGGGAAGCCCGAGCUGCCCGUGGUAGAUGAGACCACAACUCUUCUCAAUGAGCGCAACUCUUUACUGCACAAAGCCUCCCAUGAGAGCUCCAUCUGACAGGAGGGCCCGGGGCCCCCCGCCAUCUCCGCGGGGGUCUCCCCAGUGGGCCCACAUGAAGAUAGGGAGCCUUGCAGGCCAGAAGGGGUGCAGAUAGCCUGUCUAAUGGAGCAGCCACAUGGCCCCCAGAAUGUGGGGAGUUCUGGCCUCUUGACAGGGACCUCUGAAUAGCUCUGAAGUAGUGGCUGUCCAGCCCAGGACUGGCAGGGCAGUGGCCCAGCUACUACGAGCAAGGCUGUUUUUUACUGAGAGAAUUUCUGAACUAGGCUCAUUGCUCCUCUUUUUAAAUAUUGUUUGGGGAAAGGAAUGGGGAGGGGAAGACAGGGUUAAGGAACUUUAUUUAAAACAAACAAAAAAAAUUUUUUUUCCACAAAAACUUUAAUUAAAAGGGGUAGGGUUUCUCACCCCGGGAAGCAAUAGCCAUAAUCUGCUCCCAGCCAUGACCUUCUGGCUUACGUCCCUGUCUCAGGGAGCCUACUCUUCCUCCUCUUCCCCUUCCUCUUCCUCCUCCUCCUCCUCCUCCUCCAAAGAUGGUAUCCCAGAGGCCUGCUGGAGGAAGGUUUUUCUCUUGGGGGGAAGACAGUUCCUUUCAGGAAGCAAAGAACCAAAUAGCGCUGAGAACAACUGGCGGGACGCGUGCACUGAGGCUUGUUUGACGUCACUGAGGCCGAGGGAUUCUGGGUAACUGUGAUGAGGGACAUGGUACUCCCGGCUACAGAGAGGAGCACACCUACUCCUGUCAACUGCUGGAUCCUGGAAUUUCCUAGAACUCGGCUGAUGGGCUCUCCUGUUUUCUGGGAGCAGCUUGCUUUCUGAGUCCACAUGGGAGCUUGCAAAGCUGUGUUCCUGAGAGACCUGAGUGCCAGGUGGAGCAGAGCACAUUGGCCUGAACCAAGUGAGUGUGUGAAGUGAAAGGAGCAGGUGCACACACUUCCACAGCUACCUCUUUGCGCACACAGUUACUACCAACACAUGGGCCCUCAACCCCUCCCUUUCCCCACUUACAAUCACUUCUUGCAGAGGGUCAUAAUUAUUUCCAAAUAUUACUGGUCCCAUGACUUCCUCCUCCUAGUGCAAUUUUUCACUUCAUAUUCCAACCUCUGGUUCCUGGGUCGAGCCGUACCCUGGAGCUGGCCCACCCCUGCGUGUCUUCCCAGGUCAGGGAGACCUUCGCAGAUGGCCUCCAAGUGGGUAGGCAAGUCACAGCCACCAUAGCGAAUAACUCAUAUUUAUUUUGCAUAAGAUUUUAAUUUGUAUAUUUUUGUGAUUUAUUUUGGCAUUGUUAUGAGUUUGACUCUCGGGGAGUUUUGUUGUUAUGACUCUUGUGUCUUUUGUCACAAGACAAUGAUAAUAUUUGCUAAACAAUAUAUGGAAUUUAUUUUUGAUUGGUAAUAAAAAAUGAAAUAUGAA